This is a long non-coding RNA of Equus caballus (horse), 4361 nucleotides long. NCBI's taxonomy places the organism in Eukaryota, Metazoa, Chordata, Mammalia, Perissodactyla, Equidae. The record is from Ensembl.
GAAGUCCUGGGCACUCCCUCCCCUGGAGCUGGAGAAGUGAAGCCACGCAAACCCUGGCUUCAGUGCAAGAACCCUGAUGCAGGUCUUUCCCCUUAACCACAGUAAAAACCAAAGCCACCUGUGUCUUCAUUCAACUCACUUUGGACCAGCUUUGGUGCCUGCCUUGCUCUCCCCGGAAGCCCCUCUAUAGCUCACCAGGACUCUUCAAUGCCUUAAAAUGCCUCUGCUGCUGCUGCCCACACCUCUGUUGCAACACAGAUCCUGAUUCUCAAGAUCAUAGAGGACGAACUCCCAUGGCAACCUACGGCGUGGCCAGAGGAUACCACCACGCUACCGGAUAACUGUGAAGCAAACCGAAAAAGACUGAGCUGACUGAGUACCGAACCUUAUCAGUGUAUCACGUGAUCAAUUCAAACCCGACUUAAUCCCAAGGUGCCUAAACCCCAAAAACCAUUCACCAUGGGGGAGGCCCCUAACCCUGAUGGUACUGAUGUGGUACUCUCUGAAGAUGAGACUGACAGACAGUAUCAGGAUGGAGAGGACCCCCUCUCCCCCAUAGUGUACGCAGUAACCGAAAACCAAAGCAAAACAAAAUAAAACAAAACGACCUCUUCACAGAGUGGGAGGAAACAGGAGCUGUAGCAAGGGUCUGUGACUUGACCUAAUUGGAAAUUCAAAAUUUACUAAAAGAAUUUAUGCAAAAGAAAGAUAAAAAGGGUGCCUGGUGGCUAUUGUGUCACUACAAUAUGGGUUCUAAAUUAACUUUAAGAUCUGCUGAGAUGCACCAAUUGGCAAACCUUCAUGGUCUAAAUUGAUACUGGAGUUCGAGUAACAGUUACACCCGGAGAUCCUACUAAAUUUAAAGAAGGUACCCCCUAACUUUUAGAGUUACCAACCACAAAAUAAGGAGAAAGAGUUAUGCCUCACCUCGACUGUAAGAAGUAUUGCCUUGCAUAAAUUCCUAAGGGUCGUAGUGCCCAGUGCCCUAAACUAUCCCAUGGUGGGUGUGGAUAUUCUGACCCAUCAAGUCAUGAAAUAAAAUUAAGCCUUUGGCACCUACAAUUGGCUUAAUAAAACGGAGCUCCUUGGAGUCCUCUUCCCCCGCCCUCCAGGUUAAACAGUUAAUAUGGUCCACCAUAGAUUUAAACGGGGUCUGCAGAAAUUAAGACCCACCAUAAAAGACCUACUGAAGGAAGAGGUCAUUGUUCCUGUCGCCUGAUUUUGCUAAUGCUAAUCCUUAUAAAAAUGAAUGGUGCCUAACAGUGGGUCACAGCAAGCAUCUUAUUUUAGCAGAAUAACAAUAGAUUAUGUAAUGGGAAAAAAGAUCUCUAUCUCACAUUCUACACCAAAAUAAAUUCAGAUGAAGUAAAGAGCUCAUUAUAAAAAUGAAAUAAUAAAAAUUCUAGAAGGUCAUCUAGGUCAAUAUUUGGAUAGUCUUGCUUUGAGGAAAGACUUUUUUAGAAUGACACUAAACCAGAAAUCAUAAAGGAGAGAAAUGCUGGAUUUGCACACCUAAAUAAAAUUUCCUCAUAAAAUAAUAAAAAUAAACAGAAUUACAGGAAAAAAACCUGGGAACAUGUGUAUAUGACAAAAAAUUGAUACCUGUGAGUUACAAAUCUUCUUUACAAAGUACUUAUACAUAAAUAAAAAAGUAGACAAAUGAAGAGAACUCAUUAAAGAAAAAAUGGAAAUAACAUUAAGGAUAUAGUAUCUAUUUUUACUAAUAAAAAUGUAAAUUAAAGCAACAAUGUGACAGUGCUGUUACUGAAUCAAAUUGCUGAAUGCAGAGAAUUAUGAACAGAGCUUCAGCUUCGGGGCAGGCAGAUGGGAACUGUCAUAUGCUGCUGGUGGCAGGAUAAACUCAUAGGCCCUCCUUAAAGCCUACGUAUGAGUCCAGGUUCUCUAGAGAAACAGAACUAAUAGGAUGAAUAUCUAUCUAUAUGCAGAAAGAGCUUUAUUAUGAAGAACUGGCUCACGAGAUUACGGAGGCUGAUAAGUUCCAGGAUCUGCAGUCAGCAAGCUGGGGACCCAGGAGAGCUGAUGGCUGGGUCUAGUCCGAAGGCUGGCGAGCUGGAGACCCAGGAAGAGCUGGUGUUUCAGUUCCAGUCUGAAGGCAGGACAAAGCCAGGUACAGCUCGAUGUGUCAGUUCCAGUUCAAAGGCAGUUAGACAGGAGGGAUUUUCUCUUAUUCUGGGCAGGAUCAACUUUUUUGUUCUAUUCAGGCCUUCCACUGAUGGGAUGAGGCCCACCCACAUUAAGGAGAGCAAUCUCUUUUACUCAGUCUAUCAAUUUAAAUGUUAAGCUCAUCCAAAAGUACCCUCACAGAAACACCCAUAGUUAUGUAUGACCAAAGAUCUGGGCACCCUGUGGCCCAGUCAAGUUGACAUGUAAAAUUGACCAUAUAUAUAUAUAAAAUAUGCUAAAAGUGUGUGCAGUUUGAACCACAAAAUCUAUUUGUAAAAUUUAUUCUAAGGAAAUUAUUAACAGUAAAGGCAAAAAUUUAGUUCAAAAGUAUUUGCAAUAUGAUACAAUUUUUAUUUAAAAAACACAUAGGAAAAUAUCCAGAAGUAUAUAUACCUCACCUGUUAAUAUUAUUCUUCUCUGUUUGAUAGAAUUAAAGGUGAUUUUCUUUUCUUUUUUGCUUAUAUGUAUUUUCUGAUUAUUAUUAAACAAAUAUGAACUAGAUGUGUAAUAAAAUAUUUUUUAAAAAUAGGUAAGGGCCAGCCUGGUGGUACAGCAGUUAAGUUUGCACGUUCUGCUUUGGCGGCCUGGGGUUCACUGGUUUGGAUCCCAGGUGCAGACAUGACAUGGCUUGACAAGCCAUGCUGUGGCAGGUGUCCCGAUAUGGAGGAAGAUGGGCACGGAUGUUAGCUCAGGGCCAGUCUUCCUCAGCAAAAAGAGGAGAAUUGGCAGCAGAGGUUAGCUCAGGGCUGAUCUUCCUCAAAAAAAAGAAAAAUAAAAAAUAAAAAAUAGAUGAACUCUCACAUUUUGAUGCAUUUUUCUACUCUGUAUCUAUAUCUACCCAACAAAUUAAGUACACUGCUUUGUUCCUCUUAAUAUUUUAAUUAUACGUUAGACUUUGCCAUGGCAUUUAAAUGAUUUGAAAGCAUUGUUUUAAAUGUCUGCAUGAAGCUUCAUUGUUUGUAUAAACCAUCCUUCAUUUAAUCAUAUUCUAUUGUUAAACAAUGGGAGUAUUUAUAAUAGGGAAAAAUUGGAACCACUGCGUUGUAUAUAUAUUUUGAGCCAUAGUUGUGAAUAUCUUCUUAGGACAGAUCUCUGAAAGUGGAAUUACUUAAUCAAAUUUAAUUUUAAGCUUUUGAUAUGUGUUACGAAAUUGUCUCCUAGCUCAGCUCCAACUUAGGCUUUCUGCCUAACUGUUAUUGUCCCCAUCUUAGAGAUGAGGAGAGUAAGGCAUAGUGAUUAAGUGUUUUGUCUGAUGCCACAGACUCUGGCAUCACCCUGUCUGGAUCUAAUCCCAGCCCCACGAAUUGAGAAGCGGAUGACUUCCCAUUGUCCUGGGAUCUCAGAAUGGGUGGACAACAUGAAAGAGCCACAUUCAGGAGCAGCUGGAUACAUGAUAACAAUAAUAAUGGCGUAUUCCUCCAUAGAUUGAAGGGCGUCACCUCGUUGAAUUUAACGUGCCUCAAAGAUCUGCGUCUCCAUCCAGUUCGAUAGAUCCCUGUGCUAAAACAAAGAGAGGUUGCCAUCGUUGGGCUGUAUUUUCUUAUGUUUUUACUCAUUGAACAUUUGAAGGAAGCUAUGAAUAUUUACGCCCCUCAGAGUCAGUCCUACACCAAUGGAUCCCCAGGUCCUCCUUACUCUCACUUGUUCAAGAUUUGAAAUUUAAAAUGGUAUUUGUAGUUCAUUUUGUGACUUUAAUGUGUGAUUUGCACUGACAAUUUGUCUCCAUUAGAGAAGGGGAUGUGUUUGCCUGUGUGCUCACCACAGAGGAUUACCAGAUGAACAAGCGUUACCAUUGCAUCGUAUCUGCCACAGUUAUUAAGUGCCAACCAGGUAUUGAACUACGUGUUGACAGGCAUUGGGCAAAGCAUUGGUGACACAAAGAUAAAAGAGAAAACAUUUCUGCCCUCAAAUUAUUCACGGUCUAAUGGAGAACAAAGAAGAUGGACGAUUGUAGUGUAACAUAUGAAAAGUAAAAUUCAGAGAAUUUGGGGAACACCAAGAGGGGAUCAUGUCCAGUCUGGAGGACUCAAGAACAUGGGAGACCCCUUGCUGCAGAGUCUAACUUACUGCAGUGUCUACCAGUUCCAAGCUGUUUCUCAAGACCCUCUAGAGACAUUACCUAGAAGGAAUUAUAAGUCCCAAGCAUCACAAUGUUCUCAUUCCAUGAUCUGUUUUUG